This 3030-nucleotide long non-coding RNA is filed under the name Homo sapiens (human). Its description in RNAcentral is "HSALNT0379534". Lineage: Eukaryota; Metazoa; Chordata; Mammalia; Primates; Hominidae. The record is from RNAcentral.
CUCCGUCUUUCUCUUUGUCAGUUCUGACAUUUACUCAUUUUUUGUCUACAGAGAGUGGAUGAGAGCUCUCUGCCACUGUCCGGGAGGGCUGGGGCUGGGUGAGGUCUGGGGGCUGGGUGAGGUCUGAGGGCUGGCUGGCAGCUAGGAGGAGGGAGACAUGACGCUGACGGCCCUGCAUUGCUGCUUCCUCCAGCUGAAUCUACCACCCUGACUUGGAGGAGGUGAGACUCCACUCCAGGGGAGGGGCUCGGACACUGGACCAGAUUGAGGACUAGCUAAAACAGGGCCGAGGUGAAAGCAGCUUUCAGUCAGACCUGCCCACCAGUGUGCCAUGUCAGUUUACCAUUGCCAUGGCAACACCCUGGAGUUACCACCCCUUUCCGUGGCAACGACCCAAUGACUAUUACCCCAUCCCUAGAAAUUCCUGCACAAACCACCCCUUAAUCUGCAUGCCAUUAAAAAUGGGUAAAAACAUGACGGCAGAACUGUCCUGAGCUGCUGUUCCCUGCCUAUGGGGAAGCCCUGCCCUGCAGGAGCAGUCACGGAGCUGCGACACCACCAGAGCUGGGACACCACCAGAGCUGCGAGACCACCAGAGCUGUGACACCACCAGAGCCGGGACACCACCAGAGCCGGGACACCACCAGAGCCGGGACACCACCAGAGCUCCGAGACCACCAGAGCUGCCACACCACCAGAGCUGUGACACCACCAGAGCCGUGACACCACCAGAGCCGGGACACCACCAGAGCCGGGACACCACCAGAGCCGCGAGACCACCAGAGCCGUGACACCACCAGAGCCGGGACACCACCAGAGCUGGGACACCACCAGAGCUGCGAGACCACCAGAGCUGGGACACCACCAGAGCUGCCACACCACCAGAGCUGCGACAGCACCAGAGCCGGGACACCAGCAGAGCCGGGACACCACCAGAGCCGCAACACCACCAGAGCUGCGACACCAGCAGAGCCGCGACACCAGCAGAGCCGGGACACCACCAGAGCCGUGACACCAGCAGAGCCGGGACACCACCAGAGCUGCGAGACCACCAGGGCCGGGACACCACCAGGGCCGGGACACCACCAGAGCUGCGAGACCACCAGGGCCGGGACACCACCAGAGCCGGGACACCACCAGAGCUGCGAGACCACCAGGGCCGUGACACCACCAGAGCCGGGACACCACCAGAGCUGGGACACCACCAGAGCUGCGAGACCACCAGAGCUGGGACACCACCAGAGCUGCCACACCACCAGAGCUGCGACACCAGCAGAGCCGCGACACCAGCAGAGCCGGGACACCAGCAGAGCCGGGACACCACCAGAGCCGUGACACCAGCAGAGCCGGGACACCACCAGGGCCGGGACACCAGCAGAGCCGGGACACCACCAGAGCCGUGACACCAGCAGAGCCGGGACACCACCAGGGCCGGGACACCACCAGAGCUGCGAGACCACCAGGGCCGGGACACCACCAGAGCCGGGACACCACCAGAGCUGGGACACCACCAGAGCUGCGAGACCACCAGAGCCGUGACACCACCAGAGCCGUGACACCAGCAGAGCUGGGACACCACCAGAGCUGUGAGACCACCAGAGCCGGGACACCACCAGAGCCGGGACACCACCAGAGCUGCGAGACCACCAGAGCCGUGACACCAGCAGAGCCGGGACACCACCAGAGCCGGGACACCACCAGAGCCGGGACACCACCAGAGCUCCGAGACCACCAGAGCUGCCACACCACCAGAGCUGUGACACCACCAGAGCUGUGACACCACCAGAGCCGGGACACCACCAGAGCCGGGACACCACCAGAGCUGCGAGACCACCAGAGCUGGGACACCACCAGAGCUGGGACACCACCAGAGCCGGGACACCACCAGAGCUCCGAGACCACCAGAGCUGCCACACCACCAGAGCUGUGACACCACCAGAGCCGGGACACCACCAGAGCCGGGACACCACCAGAGCCGGGACACCACCAGAGCUGUGACACUGUGGCUUCAGUAAAGCUGUUUCUUCUACCACUGGCUUGCCCUUGCAUUCUUUCCUGGGUGAAGCCAAAAACCCAGAGGGCUAAACUCCACUUUCGGGCUCGCCUGCCUGCAUCAUAACCAUCAGGCCUGGAGAGCCGGGUCUCUUGAGAGUAAACUGCCGUGAGAUUCUACAGGAACUCUGCCUCUCCUCUGGGCUGAGCUGUUCUGCCUCAGUUUCCUCACUAACAAAAUGGGGUGACAUCUUGAGGUGGCCCCUCUCGGUGCUGCCAGCCUCUCUGCUCCCCACUCUUUUUGGGCAGCCCUCAAGGCCCUCGUACAGCAUCUGGGGGGCGGGUCACACUGCAUACGGCAGGGGUGGGGGGGGUCACAGACAGAGGUGCUAAAUCGAUGCAGGACGUCCGCCCCAAAGACACGCUUGUGCUCCCUUUGGAGAGUCCUGCAUCCUUCGCCCUCUGUUCAUCUGUCUGUUUGGGUCCUGGGGAUGAGUCUAGGUGGCGGCCAUCUCCGGAUGUCCCCAGGUUGCUCUGUGUGGGGAAGGGUGGGGAGGCUGCUGGGAACUGGACUCUCCUGGAGAGAGGCAGGGCCAGUGGGCUGUGGGUGCUGGGGCUUGGCACGGUGCUCCCCAGCCUGGUGGCCCCCUCUGCAGUGGAUGGAGUCGGGAUCCUGGGGGCAGUGAGUCUGGGACCCCGUCUUGGGAAGUCAGCCAGCCCCAGGAGCUGAUUUGGCCAACCUGGCCUCAAUUGAGCACCAAGGGGGCCUGAGGGAGCACCGAGGGGGCCUCCUGGGAGUUUGUCACAUGAUGGAGGCCUCGAGCCGUGGCCCGGCUCUGUCUGCUCGCGCCCCCUCACCCACGGCUGGCUAUUGUGGAUGGUGAUGUUCCUGUUACAACUGAGGGAUCUCCAUAGAAACCCAACAAGGUCUAAUUAGACACAAGUAAGUGCUUCCCAAAUGCAUUUUAAUUACAGCUCUGCUGAAAUGAACGUCAAACUGAGGUUUCAGUUGCUGCGUGUGUGAACCGAAUUGGCGCC